AUCUUCUUGUCCUCCUGCCAAUAUCAUCAAGAUCUUGGCUUUUAAAAAUCUCGCAUAUAACUCAAUACUUCAUAUCCAUUUGCGGCCUAAAAAUAAUAGGGCAACUGGGCAAGUAUUAGACAGUAAUCAGGGUUUUUUAUUUGAUGACAAUGGGAUAUUUUACCCACCCGUAGAUCCAACCUCAAUAUAUAGUUUGGGUCAAGUUAGGGUGGUAAAUGACACACCUUUUGUUCAAACUUUUAUGCGCAGUAUUUGCUCAAUGACUUAGUAUUCUAUUCUUAAAUCUUUGCAAUGUAGUUCAGUCUUAUUCUAUUCUUAAACUACCAUUGCCAAAAAUUAAGUUGUAUCCACCCAACGCAUGUUUCUAUUAGUUCUAGUACUCUAAUUACUUGAAAAUAAAAGUGACGACAUGCAGAAUGACUCAAAUUUGUCCAGGAAAGUUAGAGGUUCAUGCAUCAAUAUUGUUGAGCUCUUUUAAGGGGAUGUGUUGCUGGAAAUUGGACCCGGGGGCCGCCGCGAAGCCGGGGAAGGCGAAGCUCCGCUGCUACAGGGGGCGGACGGCGGUGCGCCGGUCGGCUGCGUCCUCCACUGGUGGGGCUCCGGAUCUGCAAGGAAAACCGGUGGCCGGGCUCCCCGGCGCCGGCCCUCCGAUGCUUAAGUCAGAGGGGGCAAAUAUGUGGAGAGGGUAGGAGGAGAGAGAGUGUAUGCACAGAAUAUUUUGUUAAGAUGAAGGAAAGAUAAAAGCUUUGAUGUCAUCAAUUGUGUCUAUGCUAUUUACUUCAAGUGUUUCCCUCCUCCCCCCAUCUUUCCCCCCAGGCUCCCCUUUUAUAGUGGGGUUUUGCGUUA
Molecule: long non-coding RNA, 846 nt
Filed under: Phoenix dactylifera (date palm)
Lineage: Eukaryota; Viridiplantae; Streptophyta; Magnoliopsida; Arecales; Arecaceae
Description: long non-coding RNA (PDAC_LNC002169)
Source: RNAcentral